UAGGCCAUAAAGACAUAGGAACUCUCUAUAUAAUCUUCGGUGCUUGAGCCGUAAUAGUAGGAACAGGACUAAGCAUCCUAAUUCGAGCAGAACUAGGUCAACCUGGUUCCCUAUUAGGAGACGAACAACUUUACAAUGUAAUUGUUACUGCCCACGCAUUUGUAAUAAUUUUCUUUAUAGUAAUACCCAUUAUAAUCGGUGGGUUCGGAAACUGACUAGUCCCCCUAAUAAUCGGCGCACCCGACAUGGCUUUUCCAUGAAUAAAUAAUAUAAGCUUCUGACUCUUACCACCUUCAUUCCUUCUCCUAUUAGCAUCUUCCAUAAUUGAAUCCGGAGCCGGAACAGGAUGAACUGUAUACCCACCUUUAGCAGGAAAUCUAGCACAUGCUGGAGCUUCUGUCGACCUGACAAUUUUCUCUCUUCACUUAGCAGGAGUAUCAUCUAUCCUCGGAGCUAUUAACUUCAUCACUACUAUUAUUAAUAUAAAACCACCCGCAAUAUCACAAUAUCAGACACCCCUAUUUGUCUGAUCUGUCCUUAUUACAGCUGUCCUUCUUCUACUAUCCCUUCCAGUAUUAGCUGCAGGAAUUACUAUGCUUCUAACAGAUCGUAAUCUUAACACAACUUUCUUCGACCCUGCAGGAGGCGGAGACCCAGUACUUUACCAACACCUAUUUUGAUUUUUCGGCCAUCCAGAAGUCUACAUUCUCAUUCUUCCCGGAUUCGGAAUAAUCUCACAUAUCGUUACAUAUUAUUCAGGAAAAAAAGAACCCUUCGGAUAUAUAGGCAUAGUGUGAGCCAUAAUAUCUAUUGGAUUCCUAGGAUUCAUUGUAUGAGCACACCAUAUAUUUACAGUAGGAAUAGACGUAGAUACUCGAGCCUACUUUACAUCUGCUACAAUAAUUAUUGCUAUCCCAACAGGAGUGAAAGUAUUCAGCUGACUAGCUACUCUCCACGGAGGAAAUAUUAAAUGAUCGCCAGCCAUAUUAUGAGCACUAGGAUUCAUUUUCCUAUUCACAGUAGGUGGACUAACCGGAAUUGUUCUAUCAAACUCAUCCCUAGACAUCGUACUUCACGAUACAUACUACGUAGUAGCCCAUUUCCACUACGUUCUUUCUAUAGGAGCUGUAUUUGCCAUUAUAGGAGGCUUCGUUCACUGAUUCCCUCUAUUUACCGGCUAUACACUAAGUGACAUAUGAGCUAAAACACACUUCACCAUUAUAUUUAUUGGUGUAAAUAUGACCUUCUUCCCUCAACAUUUCCUAGGACUAGCAGGUAUACCACGACGAUACUCCGACUAUCCAGACGCCUACACUACAUGAAACACAAUUUCAUCUAUAGGUUCAUUUAUUUCCCUAACAGCCGUAAUCCUAAUAAUUUUCAUAAUCUGAGAAGCAUUCGCAUCAAAACGUGAAGUAACAACAGUGCAAAUAACAUCAACAAACCUUGAAUGAAUCCAUGGAUGUCCACCACCAUUCCACACCUUCGAAGAACCAGCCUAUGUAAAACCGGCCAACUAAGAAAGGAAGGAUUCGAACCCCCUAAAACUGGUUUCAAGCCAGUCCCAUAUCCAAUAUGUCUUUCUCAAAAU
Molecule: long non-coding RNA, 1591 nt
Organism: Dipodomys spectabilis (banner-tailed kangaroo rat)
Lineage: Eukaryota; Metazoa; Chordata; Mammalia; Rodentia; Heteromyidae
Exons: 4
Source: RefSeq, a predicted model, not a curated record